RNAcentral lists this ribosomal RNA (253 nucleotides) under uncultured bacterium. RNAcentral's name for it is "partial 16S ribosomal RNA". It matches the Rfam family "Bacterial small subunit ribosomal RNA", at positions 524 to 776 of the family's 1533-position model. The record is from RNAcentral.
GACAGAGGGUGCAAACGUUGCUCGGAAUUACUGGGCGUAAAGGGCGUGUAGGCGGGAAGGCAAGUCGGGCGUGAAAGCCCCAGGCUCAACCUGGGAACUGCACUCGAAACUGCCUUUCUUGAGUGCCGGAGAGGAAAGCGGAAUUCCUGGUGUAGAGGUGAAAUUCGUAGAUAUCAGGAGGAACACCAGUGGCGAAGGCGGCUCACUGGACCGGUACUGACGCUGAUGCGCGAAAGCGUGGGGAGCAAACAGG